Molecule: long non-coding RNA, 1222 nt
Organism: Herpailurus yagouaroundi (jaguarundi)
Lineage: Eukaryota; Metazoa; Chordata; Mammalia; Carnivora; Felidae
Exons: 3
Source: RefSeq, a predicted model, not a curated record
ACUGAACUGCCCCCAGGAGAUUUGUGUUUAAUUCAACAGCCCUUUUUACAAGGUGAGCAUUAAGGUUGCAUAAAAGAGAAAAUCCCUAAGAAUGGCCAAGAAAAUGAUGGAAAAAAACCAGCUGGCUUUCGGAACAUGCUAUAACGUACUUGUCAUUACAACAGCAUGAUGGUGCCGGGUAGGAAGGGCCACAUGGAAACUGUCAUGGGAGCGCCUUUCCAGAUAAAGGGGAGGGGCGUGAAGUCCGCAAAUAAAGGUGUUGAUACAGCUGGGGAAACCAGCCUUCGCCUCCCACCAUCGCCCAAAACAGAGCCAGGCAUGGCAGGGAGAUAAGACUGGAAAACAUGGAAAUAAAACCUGGGGCACUUUGAUGACCCUGGGGCUGGGAUGCUCAACCCCAACCAGAAACCACCUAGAGAAAGAGCAGGAACUGGCCACGGAAGAAACGCUAAUGGUCAAGACACUGUUUGAAAAGAAGCUCCCCCUCAAACGAAUCAGAGACAGGGACCUGCAGGCAUUCAAAUGCACAACGAAACGCCCCAACACGCCCCUCGCCUGGAGACUGGAAAGCGGCCUGGAAGCGGGGUUGGGGGGGGGGGUGCCCGGAGCGCCAGUAACCAUCACUGGCUACUUGUCACCAGGCGUUACCGGCCACACACCUCAGGCCACAGCUGAAGACUCUCUACGAAGGCAGAGCUUUGCAGGGUUAUUUUAAAACCAACAUCACCCUCCGGUAUCUGAACGGCUCCAGCGGGAAAGAACUCGAACGCGUCUUUCCAUGAACUCCCCAGAAAGAAUUCCUGAAUAUUUUUUACGCUCGCUCUGGUGUAAUCGCAAGCUUCCUUGACCUGAACUGGAAAUAAAGACAAAUCGCACAAUCAUCAUCAUUCAGGGACGUACCAGGGAAGUCUCUUCCGAAGGAGCCGGGCAAGAUCGUUCCGUUUUCGAUCAACUACGCAGAAAAGCGGUCCACAAGAAGAGAGGAUAUUUUACUGGACAAUAAGCUACCGAAAUCACUAGUGACAAAGGCCCCUCUCCCGGAGCCCUGAUGGCAGGGCCAAUACUCUGCCAGGUGCUUUGCAAACACCUGUGAAAUAGAACCACGGUCCCCAUUUGUCACACAAGGAAAUAGAGGUUCUGAGAGAUUAAGUGACAGACCCGAGGUCACCAGGGAAACGGAGCAUGAGCGUGGGAGGGGCAGAGAGAAAAGGAGACACAGAAU